Molecule: ribosomal RNA, 497 nt
Filed under: uncultured bacterium
Lineage: Bacteria
Description: partial 16S ribosomal RNA
Rfam family: Bacterial small subunit ribosomal RNA
Source: RNAcentral
GAUGAACGCUGGCGGCGUGCCUAAUACAUGCAAGUCGAGCGAACAGACGAGGAGCUUGCUCCUCUGACGUUAGCGGCGGACGGGUGAGUAACACGUGGAUAACCUACCUAUAAGGCUGGGAUAACUUCGGGAAACCGGAGUUAAUACCGGAUAAUAUAUUGAACCGCAUGGUUCAAUAGUGAAAGACGGUUUUGCUGUCACUUAUAGAUGGAUCCGCGCCGCAUUAGCUAGUUGGUAAGGUAACGGCUUACCAAGGCAACGAUGCGUAGCCGACCUGAGAGGGUGAUCGGCCACACUGGAACUGAGACACGGUCCAGACUCCUACGGGAGGCAGCAGUAGGGAAUCUUCCGCAAUGGGCGAAAGCCUGACGGAGCAACGCCGCGUGAGUGAUGAAGGUCUUCGGAUCGUAAAACUCUGUUAUUAGGGAAGAACAAAUGUGUAAGUAACUAUGCACGUCUUGACGGUACCUAAUCAGAAAGCCACGGCUAACUACGUG